UAUACCAAGCUUCCAGGAAAAGCCACUAAGCUUCAGUCUAGAAUUGACCGUACCGCAAACCGACACAGGUGGGCAGGAUGAAAAUUCUAAGGCGCUUGAGAGAACUCAGGAGAAGGAACUCGGCAAAUUAACACCGUAACUUCGGGAGAAGGUGUGCCCCGGUAGGUUGUAGAGCCUCGCGCUCGAAGGCCGAUGGGGUUGCAGUGAAAUGGUGGCUGCGACUGUUUAAUAAAAACACAGCUCUCUGCAAACACGAAAGUGGACGUAUAGGGAGUGACGCCUGCCCGGUGCCGGAAGGUUAAUUGAUGGGGUGCAAGCUCUUGAUCGAAGCCCCGGUAAACGGCGGCCGUAACCAUAACGGUCCUAAGGUAGCGAAAUUCCUUGUCGGGUAAGUUCCGACCUGCACGAAGGGCGUAACGAUGGCCACACUGUCUCCUCCUGAGACUCAGCGAAGUUGAAAUGUUUGUGAAGAUGCAAUCUCCCCGCGGCAAGACGGAAAGACCCCAUGAACCUUUACUGUAGCUUUGCAUUGGACUUUGAACCGGUCUGUGUAGGAUAGGUGGGAGACUAUGAAACCGGGACGCUAGUCUCGGUGGAGUCAACCUUGAAAUACCACCCUGGUUUGUUUGAGGUUCUAACCUUGAUCCGUGAAUCCGGAUCGGGGACCGUGCAUGGUGGGCAGUUUGACUGGGGCGGUCUCCUCCCAAAAGGUAACGGAGGAGUACGAAGGUACGCUUAGGGCGGUCGGACAUCGCCCAUAAAGUGCAAUGGCAAAAGCGUGCUUGACUGCGAGACCCACAAGUCGAGCAGGUGCGAAAGCAGGUCAUAGUGAUCCGGUGGUUCUGUAUGGAAGGGCCAUCGCUCAACGGAUAAAAGGUACUCUGGGGAUAACAGGCUUAUACCGCCCAAGAGUUCAUAUCGACGGCGGUGUUUGGCACCUCGAUCUCGGCUCAUCUCAUCCUGGGGCUGUAGCCGGUCCCAAGGGUAUGGCUGUUCGCCAUUUAAAGAGGUACGUGAGCUGGUUUUAAAACGUCGUGAGACAGUUUGGUCCCUAUCUGCCGUGGGCGCUGGAAAUUUGAAGGGGGCUGCUCCUAGUACGAGAGGACCGGAGUGGACGAACCUCUGGUGUACCGGUUAUGACGCCAGUCGUAUCGCCGGGUAGCUAUGUUCGGAAGAGAUAAACGCUGAAAGCAUCUAAGCGUGAAACUCGCCUUAAGAUAAGAUUUCCCGGAGUCUUGAACUCCUUAAAGGGUCGUCGAAGACCACGACGUUGAUAGGUCAGGUGUGGAAGCGCAGUAAUGCGUUAAGCUAACUGAUACUAAUUGCCCGUACGGCUUGAUC
This 1341-nucleotide ribosomal RNA is filed under the name metagenome. Its description in RNAcentral is "bacterial LSU rRNA". It matches the Rfam family "Bacterial large subunit ribosomal RNA", at positions 1596 to 2925 of the family's 2925-position model. The record is from RNAcentral.